GACGAGCGCUGGCGGCGUGCCUAACACAUGCAAGUCGAACGGAAAGGCCUCUUUCGGGGGGUACUCGAGUGGCGAACGGGUGAGUAACACGUGAGUAACCUGCCCUUGACUUUGGGAUAACUUCAGGAAACUGGGGCUAAUACCGGAUAGGAGCUCCUGCUGCAUGGUGGGGGUUGGAAAGUUUCGGCGGUUGGGGAUGGACUCGCGGCUUAUCAGCUUGUUGGUGGGGUAGUGGCUUACCAAGGCUUUGACGGGUAGCCGGCCUGAGAGGGUGACCGGCCACAUUGGGACUGAGAUACGGCCCAGACUCCUACGGGAGGCAGCAGUGGGGAAUAUUGCACAAUGGGUGGAAGCCUGAUGCAGCAACGCCGUGUGCGGGAUGACGGCCUUCGGGUUGUAAACCGCUUUCGCUCAUGACGAAGCUUUGUGUGACGGUAGUGGGUAAAGAAGCACCGGCUAACUACGUG
Molecule: ribosomal RNA, 467 nt
Filed under: uncultured bacterium
Lineage: Bacteria
Description: partial 16S ribosomal RNA
Rfam family: Bacterial small subunit ribosomal RNA
Source: RNAcentral